RNAcentral lists this ribosomal RNA (427 nucleotides) under uncultured bacterium. Its description in RNAcentral is "bacterial SSU rRNA". It matches the Rfam family "Bacterial small subunit ribosomal RNA", at positions 355 to 774 of the family's 1533-position model. The record is from RNAcentral.
UGGGGAAUUUUGGACAAUGGGCGCAAGCCUGAUCCAGCAAUGCCGCGUGCAGGAUGUAGGCCUUCGGGUUGUAAACUGCUUUUGUACGGAACGAAAAAGCUCUCUCUAAUACAGGGGGUGAAUGACGGUACCGUAAGAAUAAGCACCGGCUAACUACGUGCCAGCAGCCGCGGUAAUACGUAGGGUGCAAGCGUUAAUCGGAAUUACUGGGCGUAAAGCGUGCGCAGGCGGUUUUGUAAGACAGAGGUGAAAUCCCCGGGCUCAACCUGGGAACUGCCUUUGUGACUGCAAAGCUGGAGUGCGGCAGAGGGGGAUGGAAUUCCGCGUGUAGCAGUGAAAUGCGUAGAUAUGCGGAGGAACACCGAUGGCGAUGGCAAUCCCCUGGGCCUGCACUGACGCUCAUGCACGAAAGCGUGGGGAGCAAACA